GUUAGUUAAAGUCUUUAAACCCAAAGAAUUUGGCGGUAUCUCAUUCCAUUCAGAGGAACCUAUCCCAUAAUUGAUAAUACACGAUUAACUUUACUUAAUUUAUUUGUUUGUAUAUCUCCGUUAUCAGAAAAUCUUUUUAGAGUUAUAAUUUUCUUGAUUUAUAAUUAUAAAAUAUUUCAGGUCAAGGUGCAGCUUAUAAUUAAGUGAGGAUGGGUUACAAUAUGUUUUUGCGUAUAAUGGAUUUAUUAGUGAAACACUAUUAAUGAAGGUGGAUUUGAUAGUAAUUUAAUUUAUUUAAUUUAAUUGAUAUUGGCUCUGAGGUGUGUACACAU
This 332-nucleotide ribosomal RNA is filed under the name Stenocatantops splendens. RNAcentral's name for it is "partial 12S ribosomal RNA". The record is from RNAcentral. Lineage: Eukaryota; Metazoa; Arthropoda; Insecta; Orthoptera; Acrididae.